Molecule: transfer RNA, 85 nt
Filed under: Myxococcales bacterium
Lineage: Bacteria; Pseudomonadati; Myxococcota; Myxococcia; Myxococcales
Also listed under: 1 other name
Description: tRNA-Ser
Source: RNAcentral
GGAAGAAAAACCGGCCAGGGGUCGGGGCCGCCUCGAAAGCGGAGCGCGCCCAGCGGGGCGUGGGGUUCGAGUCCUCUUUCUUCCU